AUGUGUCCGGUCAAUGUCUGGGCGUGUCAUUGUGAGCCCCUAUAUGUCCGUUCAUGUAACCAUGCUCCUCAUUUUCACCCCUAUAUGUCCGGUCACAUACAUGUGAUUGGUGAAGAUGGAGAGAGAGAGAGAAGAAGAAGAAGAAGAAGAAGAAGAAGAAGAAAGAGUAAAGAAAGAGAAAAUAUGGUUUGGGGUGGGCCACGUCCUACGUGGCAGACUGAUCAUGUGCAUCCAGACGCGUGCGCGAGCCCUCAUAUCGUCCCCAUAUAUAGUCUGAAUAUGAGGGUUCAUGGACAGCUCGGAUGUAUAGAGAUGAUACGAGGGCUCCGGUUCUAUUACCUUUUUUCUUCUAUCUACUGUUCGAGCACUGGUUGGACACGUCCAUGGAUGUUUGAGUAUGAUUUGAGGUGA
This 411-nucleotide ribosomal RNA is filed under the name Triticum aestivum (bread wheat). RNAcentral's name for it is "partial small subunit ribosomal RNA". The record is from RNAcentral. Lineage: Eukaryota; Viridiplantae; Streptophyta; Magnoliopsida; Poales; Poaceae.